RNAcentral lists this ribosomal RNA (277 nucleotides) under uncultured prokaryote. Its description in RNAcentral is "partial 16S ribosomal RNA". It matches the Rfam family "Bacterial small subunit ribosomal RNA", at positions 524 to 800 of the family's 1533-position model. The record is from RNAcentral.
UACGUAGGGGGCGAGCGUUGUCCGGAAUUACUGGGCGUAAAGGGUGCGUAGGCGGCCGAUUAAGUCAGAUGUGAAAUACCAGGGCUCAACCGUGGGGGUGCAUUUGAAACUGGUUGGCUUGAGUGCAGGAGAGGAAAGUGGAAUUCCUAGUGUAGCGGUGAAAUGCGUAGAGAUUAGGAGGAACACCAGUGGCGAAGGCGACUUUCUGGACUUAUACUGACGCUGAGGAACGAAAGCGUGGGGAGCAAACAGGAUUAGAUACCCUGGUAGUCCCUGA